CUAUUGCAGCUUUUCAUGCCAAAAAAAAUCUCCCUGUGUGUGAAUUCAGUGUUGCUGGCAAAACCCCAGUCUGAAAUGGGUUUUCUUACUCACUUAACAUAUUCUUCUGGUGUGAAGGAAUAAUUUCCAACUAAACAUCUUACAGAAAGCUGCUUGCUGAUUUUGCUAAGCACAUUUACUGAAAAUUAGUUCUCCUAAUUGCCAAAAAUACUUCUUUUCCAAAUGUUUCUUACCUCGAUUCUAGCCAGCAGGCAAGACAUACUCUGAUGGGUAGAGGAGGUAUGAAUCAAGUCAUGAGAAUGGAAACUGGAAGACUAGCAUCAUGAUUCUGAAAAGAAGAAUAUGAAAAAACUUCUGUUUCUACAUGUCCAAGAAGUCAUGGGAUCUUCCUCCAAUGCAUUGCACAAGAAAGUUUGUGCACUGAAUGAAGUGUUAAUCUACAGAAGGAAGCUUGUCAGCGCUCUACAAAAGCAAUGCAGGUCAAGUCACUCCCUCCCAAGACAGGUAUCCUCAGGAUUUGCUCACCUUUACACUCAUAAAAAAUUUGGACCUGUGCCAGCCAGUGUGCUCUGGUGUGUAGGAAGUCUCCCAGGA
Molecule: long non-coding RNA, 594 nt
Organism: Melozone crissalis (California towhee)
Lineage: Eukaryota; Metazoa; Chordata; Aves; Passeriformes; Passerellidae
Exons: 4
Source: RefSeq, a predicted model, not a curated record